GGGUUCCCUGUUCAAGGCGCAGUGGUAGCGCAUCCGAUUCCAGUGCCUCAAAUGAUAUGCUCGUUUGUUAUGCCGUGCCUCCGGAAGGCCAUCGGUUCGAAUCCGAUAGGGUUCA
Extremus antarcticus is the source of this 115-nucleotide non-coding RNA. The record is from the annotation of a GenBank genome assembly. Lineage: Eukaryota; Fungi; Ascomycota; Dothideomycetes; Mycosphaerellales; Extremaceae.